GGAGAGGUGUCCGAGUGGUUUAAGGAGCUAGUCUUGAAAACUAGUGAUUCCGCAAGGAACCAAGAGUUCGAAUCUCUUCCUCUCCGCCA
RNAcentral lists this transfer RNA (89 nucleotides) under Firmicutes bacterium CAG:94. Its description in RNAcentral is "transfer RNA-Ser(TGA)". It matches the Rfam family "tRNA". Rfam says of the family: Transfer RNA (tRNA) molecules are approximately 80 nucleotides in length. Their secondary structure includes four short double-helical elements and three loops (D, anti-codon, and T loops). Further hydrogen bonds mediate the characteristic L-shaped molecular structure. tRNAs have two regions of fundamental functional importance: the anti-codon, which is responsible for specific mRNA codon recognition, and the 3' end, to which the tRNAs corresponding amino acid is attached (by aminoacyl-tRNA synthetases). tRNAs cope with the degeneracy of the genetic code in two manners: having more than one tRNA (with a specific anti-codon) for a particular amino acid; and 'wobble' base-pairing, i.e. permitting non-standard base-pairing at the 3rd anti-codon position. Lineage: Bacteria; Bacillati; Bacillota. RNAcentral also lists the same sequence under 2 other names. The record is from RNAcentral.